This 254-nucleotide ribosomal RNA is filed under the name uncultured bacterium. Its description in RNAcentral is "partial 16S ribosomal RNA". It matches the Rfam family "Bacterial small subunit ribosomal RNA", at positions 524 to 776 of the family's 1533-position model. The record is from RNAcentral.
UACAGAGGUCUCAAGCGUUGUUCGGAUUCAUUGGGCGUAAAGGGUGCGUAGGCGGCGCGGUAAGUCGGGUGUGAAAACUCGGGGCUCAACCCCGAGACGCCAUCCGAUACUGCUGUGGCUUGAAUCUGGUAGGGGAGCACGGAAUUCCUGGUGUAGCGGUGAAAUGCGCAGAUAUCAGGAGGAACACCGGUGGCGAAGGCGGUGCUCUGGGCCAGUAUUGACGCUGAGGAGCGAAAGCGUGGGUAGCAAACAGG